This 506-nucleotide ribosomal RNA is filed under the name uncultured bacterium. RNAcentral describes it as "partial 16S ribosomal RNA". It matches the Rfam family "Bacterial small subunit ribosomal RNA", at positions 28 to 523 of the family's 1533-position model. The record is from RNAcentral.
GAUGAACGCUAGCUACAGGCUUAACACAUGCAAGUCGAGGGGUAACGAGAGGAAAGCUUGCUUUCCUUGUCGACGACCGGCGCACGGGUGAGUAACGCGUAUCCAACCUGCCCCCAACUAGGGAAUAACCUUGCGAAAGUAAGACUAAUACCCUAUAAUUUCCUCAGAUGUCAUCUGACGAGGAAUAAAGAUUUAUCGGUUGUGGAUGGGGAUGCGUCUGAUUAGCUUGUUGGCGGGGUAACGGCCCACCAAGGCAACGAUCAGUAGGGGUUCUGAGAGGAAGGUCCCCCACAUUGGAACUGAGACACGGUCCAAACUCCUACGGGAGGCAGCAGUGAGGAAUAUUGGUCAAUGGGCGGAAGCCUGAACCAGCCAAGUAGCGUGCAGGAUGACGGCCCUAUGGGUUGUAAACUGCUUUUAUACAGGAAUAAAGUUAGCCACGUGUGGUUAUCUGUAGGUACUGUAUGAAUAAGGACCGGCUAAUUCCCUGCCAGCAGCCGCGGUAA